ACCCUGAUGCAGCCAUGCCGCGUGUGUGAAGAAGGCCUUCGGGUUGUAAAGCACUUUCAGUUGUGAGGAAAAGUUAGUAGUUAAUACCUGCUAGCCGUGACGUUAACAACAGAAGAAGCACCGGCUAACUCCGUGCCAGCAGCCGCGGUAAUACGGAGGGUGCGAGCGUUAAUCGGAAUUACUGGGCGUAAAGCGCACGCAGGCGGUUUGUUAAGCUAGAUGUGAAAGCCCCGGGCUCAACCUGGGAUGGUCAUUUAGAACUGGCAGACUAGAGUCUUGGAGAGGGGAGUGGAAUUCCAGGUGUAGCGGUGAAAUGCGUAGAUAUCUGGAGGAACAUCAGUGGCGAAGGCGACUCCCUGGCCAAAGACUGACGCUCAUGUGCGAAAGUGUGGGUAGCGAACAGGAUUAGAUACCCUGGUAGUCCACACCGUAAACGCUGUCUACUAGCUGUUUGUGGCUUUAAGCCGUGAGUAGCGAAGCUAACGCGCUAAGUAGACCGCCUGGGGAGUACGGCCGCAAGGUUAAAACUCAAAUGAAUUGACGGGGGCCCGCACAAGCGGUGGAGCAUGUGGUUUAAUUCGAUGCAACGCGAAGAACCUUACCUACACUUGACAUGCAGAGAACUUUCUAGAGAUGGAUUGGUGCCUUCGGGAACUCUGACACAGGUGCUGCAUGGCUGUCGUCAGCUCGUGUCGUGAGAUGUUGGGUUAAGUCCCGCAACGAGCGCAACCCUUGUCCUUAGUU
This 744-nucleotide ribosomal RNA is filed under the name uncultured Alteromonadaceae bacterium. Its description in RNAcentral is "bacterial SSU rRNA". It matches the Rfam family "Bacterial small subunit ribosomal RNA", at positions 380 to 1116 of the family's 1533-position model. The record is from RNAcentral. Lineage: Bacteria; Pseudomonadati; Pseudomonadota; Gammaproteobacteria; Alteromonadales; Alteromonadaceae.